CAGUCGCCGCGGUAAUACGAAGGGUGCAAGCGUUAAUCGGAAUUACUGGGCGUAAAGCGUGCGUAGGCGGUUUGCUAAGACAGAUGUGAAAUCCCCGGGCUCAACCUGGGAACUGCAUUUGUGACUGGCAGGCUAGAGUAUGGCAGAUGGGGGUGGAAUUCCGCGUGUAGCAGUGAAAUGCGUAGAUAUGCGGAGGAACACCGAUGGCGAAGGCAGCCCCCUGGGCCAAUACUGACGCUCAUGCACGAAAGCGUGGGGAGCAAACAGGAUUAGAUACCCCCGUAGUCCCUGUCUCUUAUAC
This 301-nucleotide ribosomal RNA is filed under the name uncultured bacterium. Its description in RNAcentral is "partial 16S ribosomal RNA". It matches the Rfam family "Bacterial small subunit ribosomal RNA", at positions 509 to 807 of the family's 1533-position model. The record is from RNAcentral.